Molecule: ribosomal RNA, 465 nt
Filed under: uncultured bacterium
Lineage: Bacteria
Description: partial 16S ribosomal RNA
Rfam family: Bacterial small subunit ribosomal RNA
Source: RNAcentral
GACGAACGCUGGCGGCGUGCUUAACACAUGCAAGUCGUACGGUAAGGCCCUUUCGGGGGUACACGAGUGGCGAACGGGUGCGUAACACUUGCGUAACCUGCCCACAACUUUGGGAUAACGCUAGGAAACUGGUGCUAAUACUGAAUAUGUGCUCUUUCUGCAUGGGGGUGGUUGGAAAGCUCCGGCGGGUGUGGAUGGACUCGCUGCCUAUCGGCUUGUUGGUGGGGUAGUGGCCUACCGAGGCGGCGGCGGGUAGCCGGACUGAGUGGGUGACCGGCGACAUUGGGACUGAGGUGCGGCAGAGACUGCUACGGGAGGGAGCAGUGGGGAAUAUUGAACGAUGGGCGCAAGCCGGAUGCAGCAGCGCCGCGUGCGGGAUGACGGCCUUCGGGUUGUAAACCGAUUUCAGCAGGGACGAAGCUUUUUGUGACGGUACCUGAAGAAGAAGCACCGGCUAACUACGUG